CCGUCUUCGCACGCAUGGCGGCCUCCACGCUCCCCGCGUGGCUGGUUCUGCAGCCGGGGGCCAGGACCCUGCGGGCCUUCUCCACCGCCGUGUCUCUGGUCACUGGCGCUCCCGCACCAAGCCCGUGUACAACAGAAAGAACAUCCAAACAUGAAAGGCCACUGAGAAGAAAGGCACUACCUCCUAGGACAGAGAAAAUGGCUGUUGACCAGGACUGGCCUAGUGUUUACCCUGUUGCAGUACCAUUUAAGCCCUCUGCAGUACCUCUUCCUAUUCGAAUGGGUUAUUCAGUAAAACAGGGGGUGCCCAUGGCAAAGGAGGGAAAUCUAGAACUUUUAAAGAUCCCCAAUUUUCUGCAUUUGACUCCUGUAGCAAUUAAAAAGCACUGUGAAGCUCUUAAAGAUUUCUGCACUGAGUGGCCAGCUGCACUGGACAGUGAUGAGAAAUGCGAGAAGCAUUUUCCAGUUGAAAUUGAAACAGCUGAUUAUGUUUCAUCAGGACCAUCUGUUCGAAACCCCAAAGCACGAGUAGUAACCUUAAGGGUUAAACUUUCCAGUUUGAAUUUAGAUGAUCAUGCAAAGAAGAAACUUAUUAAACUUGUAGGGGAGCGAUACUGCAAGACCACAGAUGUGCUUACCAUCAGAACAGAUAGGUGCCCUUUAAAGAGACAGAAUUAUGAUUAUGCAGUGUAUCUGCUAACAGUUUUAUACCAUGAGUCUUGGAAAACCGAAGAAUGGGAGAAAAAUAAGACUGAAGCAGACAUGGAAGAGUAUGUAUGGAAAAAUAGCUCCUCAGAAAAAAAUGUCCUGGAAAUACUUCUCCAAAUUAAAGCUGCUGAGAAAAAUCUGGAAUUAAAUAAAGAAGAGCUCCUUGGUACUAAAGAAGUUGAAGAUUACGGAAAGUCUGUUGUCACUCUUAAGAACGAGGGGGACAAUGAAAAUACCCUUUCUCAGUACAAAGAAUCAGUGAAGAGACUGUUAAAUUUGACAUGAAUUAUGUAGAAAAAUCUGCUUGAUUUAUUAAUUUUGUGAUAUAUAUGUAAU
Non-coding RNA from Ceratotherium simum simum (southern white rhinoceros), 1043 nucleotides. Lineage: Eukaryota; Metazoa; Chordata; Mammalia; Perissodactyla; Rhinocerotidae. The record is from RefSeq and is a predicted model, not a curated record.